ACAGAAACCUGUUCACCAGCUCUGUGCUGUUGUUGCUAGUUCAUUGUUUUCUGAUAAAUUCCAGGGAAUCAGAAAGAUGAAAUUUCCAUUGGAAGAAGAGUGGAUGUGCCCCGUAAACAUUGGGAGUCACUGGAUUUUAGUGAUCGUCAACAUGUCUGACAAGGUCCUUCUGCUGAUAGAUCCAUUGGCAAACGAAGGUGCCUAUGAGCGAAAAUUACUUCGGAACUGGAGGAAUUUCUUGAAGAAGAGAGGCUGUGGUGAACAGGGAGAAAAUUGGAUGGUUCACACAAUGCAGCACAACAAGC
Molecule: long non-coding RNA, 305 nt
Organism: Xyrauchen texanus (razorback sucker)
Lineage: Eukaryota; Metazoa; Chordata; Actinopteri; Cypriniformes; Catostomidae
Exons: 4
Source: RefSeq, a predicted model, not a curated record